AACCUCCGCAAUGUGGGAAAUCGCGACGGGGGGAUCCCAAGUGCCAUUCUUAACGGGAUGGCUUUUCAUUAGUGUAAAGAGCUUUUGGAAUAAGGGCUGGGCAAGACCGGUGCCAGCCGCCGCGGUAACACCGGCAGCUCUAGUGGUAGCAGUUUUUAUUGGGCCUAAAGCGUCCGUAGCCGGUUUAAUAAGUCUCUGGUGAAAUCCUGUAGCUUAACUGUGGGAAUUGCUGGAGAUACUAUUAGACUUGAGACCGGGAGAGGUUAGAGGUACUCCCAGGGUAGAGGUGAAAUUCUGUAAUCCUGGGAGGACCGCCUGUUGCGAAGGCGUCUAACUGGAACGGUUCUGACGGUGAGGGACGAAAGUUAGGGGCGCGAACCGGAUUAGAUACCCGGGUAGUCCUAACCGUAAACGAUGCGGACUUGGUGUUGGGUGGCUUUGAGCUGCUCCAGUGCCGAAGGGAAGCUGUUAAGCCCGCCGCCUGGGAAGUACGGUCGCAAGACUGAAACUUAAAGGAAUU
RNAcentral lists this ribosomal RNA (520 nucleotides) under uncultured bacterium. RNAcentral describes it as "bacterial SSU rRNA". It matches the Rfam family "Archaeal small subunit ribosomal RNA", at positions 345 to 866 of the family's 1478-position model. The record is from RNAcentral.